GAAGUUGAGGCAAGAACGACUGAAUUCCUUGGCCCGGUCAACCAGCAGUAAAUUACUUAGGUACCUUACCUGAUAGAUAGUGAUAAGAUUAUUUCUAUAGCUCUGAUUGCUACUGACUCUUUGCUUCACUUACUAAUUCUUCUGUAUUUCUGUGCUGCAGAAAAUCAAAGCGUCCUCAUCGUCCAAUCCUGUGAUGCCUCUGGUCCUGCUAAGAUCUCGUUCUGUGUGGUUUUCCCCUUCGGUCAGCCGAGAUAGCGGUGUUUACUCAUAAAGUUGCGCCUAAAUGAAUCACCUUUUUUGCUUAGAGUUUUCGGAUUGUUCCUUCUGUAAAAUGGUGCAUAUUGUUUCAGUGUGUGAACUAUACUGAACCAUUCAGUGCUUCAUUUUAGGUCUGGCAACCGGUGUAGAUGCACUGGAAGAUGGGGAAGAUCUGCAGUUUGAUCCUGAGGCUUACAAUUAUCUCCGAGGUUUUGGCAUUGGCUGGUCUUGCUUGAGGUAAAGUUUAUCUUCAUUCCCCCCACUUUUUGGGUGCUUACUUCAGGAGUCAGGACAAUAUACGAUCUGUUUUCAAUUACUAAAACCUUCUGUUGCGGUUUUAAUGUUGUGCGCGAUCAACUUGGACUCAUCAGAUCGGAGUUCCCUCAUACAUUCUAUGGUGUUGCAAGAACGCAGGUUGUGUUAGUCUUUACACCUUUAAAACCUAGGCAUUGCUUUUUCGCAAAAAAACUAGGUAUUAUUACUAUCGAAACUUGGAUUGCUUUUGAUGUCUAUCACAUAGUGCUUUUUGUUAUCUAAAUUAGAACUUGUACAUGAAUUAGUUUUGUACUUCUGUUCCUGUUUAUGUGUUUUGGAUUUAAAAAGUGCACCAUUGCUGAUUUUAAGCUCAGAAAAGCCAUGCCAAAAACGUUUUGUGAGCUCUCGCUUGCAUUUAUAUCAUUACUGUUGCCAGAAAUUGUGAUGGAUUGCAAGCGGGUGAAUUUGGACUGGCAAAAGAUUAAUAUAAGCUUAAAUGCGACAACUUUGUGUUUGAUGUACUGUACCUACCAGUAUUCUGACAAUAAAAUUUAGUUUUUCUUUCUGAGUUCGCAACGCACUGUACCUACCUCAGCUACUGAGGAAGAGGAGGUGAACCUUGAUCGGCGUGUUGGCAGAAUACUGGAGGAACUCGAGAUGGUCUCCAUUGAGGAAGGUGAGAAGUAUGAACAGAUGCUUCAUGUUUUGUCGAACAAAGGCUUUGUUUCAUGGCUGUGAAAACCGGAUGUAACUGCUACAAUGUUGCAGGUCGUUUGAGGUUCGAGAGCCUGAUGCCACUGUUCUAGGAACUACUAGAGAACAAGAGCCCGAUGGCUAUACUUGAACCCCUCAUGCAACAGACGUUUAUUAGAAUUGACACACUUACCAUUGUAAGGCCUAGACCAAUUGGUUGGUUCCCUCCCUUGAUGUAGGGAUGAUGCUUGUUGUAUUGCAUUACUGCACUGGCAACCAUUGUACAGGUUGUAGCUUCUCAUGGUUAGCAGAGUGCAGGCAUGAUUUUUUACAUGUGCAGCCUGCACACCUGUCGUCCAGUAGUUUGGCUCGGUUGUAUUAGCAGCAACAAUGAGUGGUGUUGUCGUGUUAUGCCUUAAGCAAAUUGUAUGGUAGUUGUAUCGAUGAUUCG
This 1657-nucleotide long non-coding RNA is filed under the name Zea mays. Its description in RNAcentral is "long non-coding RNA (ZMAY_LNC003616)". Lineage: Eukaryota; Viridiplantae; Streptophyta; Magnoliopsida; Poales; Poaceae. The record is from RNAcentral.